UGGACUUGUGUCAUGCACAAAGUAGAAGUCCUAACCGACUUGCCAAAACUAUAGUUUGUUAACAAGACAUUUGCGGAGUGGUUGAAAAACGAGUUUUAAUGACUCCAACCUAAGUGUAUGUAAACAUCCGACUUCAACUGUAGAUAGUGACAUAGUUCCUCUAUGCUACGUAGGUAGUGACAUAGUUCCUCUAUGCUACGUAGGUAGUGACAUAGGUCCUCUAUGCUACGUAGGUAGUGACAUAGGUCUUCUAUGACUAAAGAGUCCCAUCAUUGAAACCAAACCCUGGUCACGGUGUUACCUAGGCUCCGGUUUUCAAGACGAUCUACUAGCCAAAGUAGGGGGCUCUGGUCAAAAUAAUAACAAUAUAUGCCAUUUAGCGGCCAUUUUUAUUUUAAUUACCCAAAGCGACUCAAGUCAUGUGUGCAUACAUUUUACAUAUGGGUGGUCCCGGGAAUGGAACUCAUUACCCUGGCAUUACAUGUCUCUACCGACUAAGCUACAAAAAGACCUGUUACGGAGCAGGAAUAUUCUAGACAUAUCCUAUGGAAUAGGGAAGCAUUUGGGAGGCACAGUACCAGCCGAGGUGAGAUUACGACGGCUGGAUACCCAAGACUAUCUAUGGACCGGACUAUCUGUGUGUUUAAUUAUGAUUUCUAUUAAAAAAAAGUAUUUUUGGUGGUUUUAUGAAACGUUAUACGAGUGAUUCGUGACUACACACAUGGACUCGUAGUGAGGAACACCGUUUAUUAAUUAUGUUGAAAUACUGAUUUACAAAUAAAACAUAAAACUAC
Molecule: non-coding RNA, 794 nt
Organism: Oncorhynchus mykiss (rainbow trout)
Lineage: Eukaryota; Metazoa; Chordata; Actinopteri; Salmoniformes; Salmonidae
Source: RefSeq, a predicted model, not a curated record